CCGUCCAAGUAGGGGAAAGUAGUCCAAUUCGGCUAAGGCAUCAGGAAAACCCAAAUUAGCUUGGGAAAAUUAAUUUUGAGGUCCCUACACUUGUGAAAAAAACAAAAAAUCAGCCCCCAACAAAUACCUAAGAAACCUUCUAACCCCUUGCAUGAUUCAUGCAUGAAAUCAAGCAUGAAUCAAGAAACAAUCAACCUCUUCCU
This 203-nucleotide long non-coding RNA is filed under the name Gossypium raimondii (Peruvian cotton). RNAcentral's name for it is "long non-coding RNA (GRAI_LNC003788)". Lineage: Eukaryota; Viridiplantae; Streptophyta; Magnoliopsida; Malvales; Malvaceae. The record is from RNAcentral.